GCUACAAAUCGGGUUAUCGUGCCGCCUUUAAGGCGGUAAGGAAAGUCCGGACAGCAAAGAGCAACGCACCAUCUAACGGAUGGGGUUCUGCGCAAGCGGAAUACAGAAAGUGCCACAGAAAAUUACCGCCUCGCCUCGGCGGGGUAAGGGUGAAAACGUAGUGUAAGAGACUACGGCGGGUUAUGGUAACAUAGUUUGCGGGUAAACCUUGCGUGCUGAAAUGCCAAAUAGGCGGACGUUUGAGGGCUGCUCGCCCGAUGUCCGUGGGUUGGCAGCUAGAGCUGAUGUGUGAGCAUCUUCCCAGAUAAAUGAUAACCGUUCUGAGCAAUCAGAAUACAGAAUCCGGCUUAUAGAUUUGUAGCUUUU
RNAcentral lists this RNase P RNA (366 nucleotides) under Taibaiella soli. RNAcentral's name for it is "Bacterial RNase P class A". It matches the Rfam family "Bacterial RNase P class A". Rfam says of the family: Ribonuclease P (RNase P) is a ubiquitous endoribonuclease, found in archaea, bacteria and eukarya as well as chloroplasts and mitochondria. Its best characterised activity is the generation of mature 5'-ends of tRNAs by cleaving the 5'-leader elements of precursor-tRNAs. Lineage: Bacteria; Pseudomonadati; Bacteroidota; Chitinophagia; Chitinophagales; Chitinophagaceae. The record is from Rfam by way of RNAcentral.